This 1011-nucleotide ribosomal RNA is filed under the name Arthrobacter sp. 08Y14. RNAcentral describes it as "bacterial SSU rRNA". It matches the Rfam family "Bacterial small subunit ribosomal RNA", at positions 11 to 1024 of the family's 1533-position model. Lineage: Bacteria; Bacillati; Actinomycetota; Actinomycetes; Micrococcales; Micrococcaceae. The record is from RNAcentral.
GUUUGAUCCUGGCUCAGGAUAAACGCUGGCGGCAUGCCUAAUACAUGCAAGUCGAACGGGGGUGCUUGCACCCCAGUGGCGAACGGGUGAGUAACACGUAUCUAACCUACCUCAUAGCGGGGGAUAACUUUUGGAAACGAAAGAUAAUACCGCAUGUGAAUCUUAUUAUCGCAUGAGAAAAGAUUGAAAGGACCGUUUGGUUCACUAUGAGAUGGGGAUGCGGCGUAUUAGUUAGUAGGUGAGGUAAUGGCUCACCUAGGCGAUGAUACGUAGCCGAACUGAGAGGUUGAUCGGCCACAUUGGGACUGAGAUACGGCCCAGACUCCUACGGGAGGCAGCAGUAGGGAAUUUUUCACAAUGGACGAAAGUCUGAUGAAGCAAUGCCGCGUGAGUAAUGACGGCCUUCGGGUUGUAAAGCUCUGUUGUAAGGGAAGAAAAAAUAGAGUAGGAAAUGCCUCUAUAUUGACGGUACCUUACCAGAAAGCCACGGCUAACUAUGUGCCAGCAGCCGCGGUAAUACAUAGGUGGCAAGCGUUAUCCGGAUUUAUUGGGCGUAUAGGGUGCGUAGGCGGUUUUGCAAGUUUGAGGUUAAAGCCCGGAGCUCAACUCCGGUCCGCCUUGAAAACUGCAUUACUAGAAUGCAAGAGAGGUAAGUGGAAUUCCAUGUGUAGCGGUGAAAUGCGUAGAUAUAUGGAAGAACACCUGUGGCGAAAGCGGCUUACUGGCUUGUUAUUGACGCUGAGGCACGAAAGCGUGGGGAGCAAAUAGGAUUAGAUACCCUAGUAGUCCACGCCGUAAACGAUGAGUACUAGGUGUUGGGGUUAUCUCAGCGCCGCAGCUAACGCAUUAAGUACUCCGCCUGAGUAGUAUGCUCGCAAGAGUGAAACUCAAAGGAAUUGACGGGGACCCGCACAAGUGGUGGAGCGUGUUCUUUAAUUCGAUGAUAAGCGAAGAACCUUACCAGGGCUUGACAUCCUUGGAAUUUCUCCGAAAGGAGAGAGUACUUUAUUG